AAAAGUACAUAAUGUUACCAGUGAAUCAUCCAUAAUUCUUUGAUCCAGUCCUGGCAAGUCAGUCAAUUUCAAUGGUGGAGCUGAACAUUAUACCAUAAAAAUAUUAGUUAUAAAAUAUACAUAUACAAACUAGUGCAUAUAUGCAUUCUGUGCAUUUAUGUUUAUAACACAUCCAAAUCAUGUUUACUUUUGGUAAUUUUUUAGUCAAGAAACAAAUCAAAAUCCUCCAUGCCCCAUUUUAAAAUUUAGUAAACUUCAUUUGUCAUACCAUACAUGUCAUGUUUGGAACUCAAACGAGUGUUUUAGUUGAAUUCCACGAUAUCAAUUCUAUAGAAUUAAACAUAAAAAAAUGAUGAAGUUUCACAAAUGAAUUCCUCACUAUGAAAGCUACAAUUAAUUGGACUAAACUACCCUCAAAGGAACUCACAUGUUAUUUUCCAUCCCAAGCCUAGCUGCUCUCCUUAGUCUCUCUCCCUCCACCCUAUUGGCUUCCUUUUUUUAUAUGCUUAAUUGAAUUGUAGAUUAACAUGUAUUUGCAGACAAAACAUGAGAAUUCAUCAUUUUAAAAUUAAUUGAUUCUUUAUUCAUUUGCUUCCAAAUGUUAUAUAAUUG
This 612-nucleotide unclassified non-coding RNA is filed under the name Hevea brasiliensis (rubber tree). Lineage: Eukaryota; Viridiplantae; Streptophyta; Magnoliopsida; Malpighiales; Euphorbiaceae. The record is from RNAcentral.